AGAUUGAAGAAGCUUGCUUCUGAUUGAUAACAUUUGAGUGAGUGGCGGACGGGUGAGUAACACGUGGGUAACCUGCCCUAAAGUGGGGGAUAACAUUUGGAAACAGAUGCUAAUACCGCAUAAAACCUAGCACCGCAUGGUGCAAGGUUGAAAGAUGGUUUCGGCUAUCACUUUAGGAUGGACCCGCGGUGCAUUAGUUAGUUGGUGAGGUAAAGGCUCACCAAGACCGUGAUGCAUAGCCGACCUGAGAGGGUAAUCGGCCACACUGGGACUGAGACACGGCCCAGACUCCUACGGGAGGCAGCAGUAGGGAAUCUUCCACAAUGGACGAAAGUCUGAUGGAGCAACGCCGCGUGAGUGAAGAAGGUUUUCGGAUCGUAAAACUCUGUUGUUGGAGAAGAACGUAUUUGAUAGUAACUGAUCAGGUAGUGACGGUAUCCAACCAGAAAGCCACGGCUAACUACGUGCCAGCAGCCGCGGUAAUACGUAGGUGGCAAGCGUUGUCCGGAUUUAUUGGGCGUAAAGCGAGCGCAGGCGGUUUCUUAAGUCUGAUGUGAAAGCCUUCGGCUCAACCGAAGAAGUGCAUCGGAAACUGGGAAACUUGAGUGCAGAAGAGGACAGUGGAACUCCAUGGU
RNAcentral lists this ribosomal RNA (635 nucleotides) under Latilactobacillus curvatus. Its description in RNAcentral is "bacterial SSU rRNA". It matches the Rfam family "Bacterial small subunit ribosomal RNA", at positions 60 to 675 of the family's 1533-position model. Lineage: Bacteria; Bacillati; Bacillota; Bacilli; Lactobacillales; Lactobacillaceae. The record is from RNAcentral.